RNAcentral lists this small RNA (557 nucleotides) under Pan troglodytes (chimpanzee). RNAcentral's name for it is "processed transcript". The record is from RNAcentral. Lineage: Eukaryota; Metazoa; Chordata; Mammalia; Primates; Hominidae.
AAGAUGAAUCUUGCUGUCGUCCUCCUCUCCAAUACGCAGCUGCUUCCACCCCAGUUGCCUCUCACUGCUCUGAUGAAGCUCCUUGUUCCUGGCAUUGUCCUUUUUGACCCUUUUAAAUGUCUCUGCAGCACCUUGCACCUUGGGCUUCGAUUGACCUCCUCCUCUAACAGAAGUUCAGGUUCGAAGUCAACAAUACCAUUCUUCACCCAGAGAUCGUUGAGUGCCGAGUGUUUAAGACGGAUAUGGAGCUGGAGGUUCUGCGCUACACCAAUAAAAUCUCCAGCGAGGCCCACCGUGAGGUAAUGAAGGCUGUAAAAGUGGGAAUGAAAGAAUAUGAGUUGGAAAGCCUCUUCGAGCACUACUGCUACUCCCGGGGUGGCAUGCGCCACAGCUCCUACACCUGCAUCUGCGGCAGUGGUGAGAACUCAGCCGUGCUACACUACGGACACGCCGGAGCUCCCAACGACCGAACGAUCCAGAAUGGGGACAUGUGCCUGUUCGACAUGGGCGGUGAGUAUUACUGCUUCGCUUCCGACAUCACCUGCUCCUUUCCCGCC